GGGCCCGUAGCUCAACGGCAGAGCGCCCGCCUUGCACGCGGGAGGCUAGGGGUUCAAAUCCCCUCGGGUCCA
RNAcentral lists this transfer RNA (72 nucleotides) under Microcaldota archaeon. Its description in RNAcentral is "Candidatus Micrarchaeota archaeon (hot springs metagenome) tRNA-Ala". It matches the Rfam family "tRNA". From Rfam's summary of the family: Transfer RNA (tRNA) molecules are approximately 80 nucleotides in length. Their secondary structure includes four short double-helical elements and three loops (D, anti-codon, and T loops). Further hydrogen bonds mediate the characteristic L-shaped molecular structure. tRNAs have two regions of fundamental functional importance: the anti-codon, which is responsible for specific mRNA codon recognition, and the 3' end, to which the tRNAs corresponding amino acid is attached (by aminoacyl-tRNA synthetases). tRNAs cope with the degeneracy of the genetic code in two manners: having more than one tRNA (with a specific anti-codon) for a particular amino acid; and 'wobble' base-pairing, i.e. permitting non-standard base-pairing at the 3rd anti-codon position. Lineage: Archaea; Nanobdellati; Microcaldota. RNAcentral also lists the same sequence under 1 other name. The record is from RNAcentral.